This is a long non-coding RNA of Triplophysa dalaica, 221 nucleotides long. RefSeq lists it as uncharacterized. The record is from RefSeq and is a predicted model, not a curated record. The transcript is spliced from 3 exons. Lineage: Eukaryota; Metazoa; Chordata; Actinopteri; Cypriniformes; Nemacheilidae.
GAUUUAGUUUUUUUUUCCUCCGUGAAUCUGAUGAGAGCAGAUGGUUGUUGCUGCUCCGGGAGAUUUUAAGCUCUAAAUCCAGCGAAAACUCAUGAUUCAGAGAGAAGCCGUGUAUGUGAGAUUGAUGGUUUGGAACAUUGUCAUCUGAAUUUUCCUGUUCUUCAGAUGCACAUUGUGUGCGAGUUCCUUGGCCAGGUUUUUUUGAUGUGUUUUAUUUCCAU